RNAcentral lists this unclassified non-coding RNA (1613 nucleotides) under Hevea brasiliensis (rubber tree). The record is from RNAcentral. Lineage: Eukaryota; Viridiplantae; Streptophyta; Magnoliopsida; Malpighiales; Euphorbiaceae.
GGCCAUGUCAAUUGAAUCAGGUCUAUCAUCUCCAUCGAUAUCAUGAGGAACAAGGUUCCUCAUCCAUGAUGGAAAAUUCCACAAUGUACCAGCUCCAGAUGACUGGUGACCCAUCGAUACUAGCAUCUGCUCCAUACCGAUUUUCGACAAGUUCUUUUCUCCUUCUUUCCCUAUCAUUUCCCUCAUAGGAAUCUCAUCUUGAAUAGGCAAGGAUUUGUCUUCUGAUGUAGUCGACUUCAGGUCCCUCAGAACAAUCGUGUCAGGUAAAAGUGAGUGCAUUCUGUAGACGCUAACGAACUCUUCAGUCAAUGAGUAGGGAGUUCCGUGAUCUCUAGGCUUUUUAAGACCAACUAAGCCACUCAAUACUGGUCCAAAUUUGGGUCCUAACAAAUCCUUGACUCUCUUCCCCAACAAGCCAUACCAGUUGAUUCUCAUUCCUGCCAUAAGAGUAUCAGUCUUAACAAUUUCAAGCGUCCAAUCAAUAGUAUGGAUUUUUGCAAUGACCGCUGAAGUUAUCAGUCUUGCAUGUCGGUAAACCUUUUCAUCAUCAAAUUCAGGGUAAUGUUCUUUAAGCAUAUCACAUAUGGCAUUAUGUUCCUUCACAAACAAGGCCUGCAAGAGAGAGUAGCCUGCCCAAUAGUUUCGGACAUCUCCAGAUAUUGGAAUGCCUUUAUCAUCAUGUUCCAGAAGUCCAUCACCUGAGAGCCUGAGCUUUCCAUCUUUAAAUCUUCUCACCCUUAUCAUUCCCUCUUCGUUGUUUCCAUAUAUUACACUCCCAUCCCACCAUGGGGUCCUUGAAUUCAAAUGCCCAAACUUCAGAUCAGGUGAACCUGUGGGAAGUUUUUUGGUUUUAAGGAACUUAAAUGACUUCAACGGACACCCUGCUGCAACGUCUUGAGGAGCUCUAAGCUCCACCUGUUCAGUGUCCUCCAUAUGGUCAUUCCAAUCAUGGAUCAUAAAUUGUAACCACGCGCACGCUAUCAUGUUGAAUUGGCCCCCACAAUCUGUGUAUUUUCUUCUUUCCAAGAGCUUGGAGGCCACUGUUACAGGGUGAGGUUCCAGCAGCGCAUAACUUGAAGUGGAUGGUAGCAUGUUGCGGCCAAAGAAGGUUCCUUGACUGCCCACUAAAUGAUCCACAGGAUGAUUGCAUGAACCAUCAGCAGUCCGAUAGGUAAACUCUUCUGUGUCAUAUUUCUUGCCAUUAACUUUCCCUACAUGUAAAAGAUUGUAUCGCUGGUGCAAGUGUCUUCUUAUUCCUAGGUAAGCUGCCCCCAGUAACACCGGCAAUCUAUGCCAUAAGUCAAACUUGUCCACAAGAUGUACAACAUAGAACAAAAUUGUGUCAAAGAAAGACAUCUUUGCAACAACAUGCCGGAGUUGAGGAUGAACAAAGUCUGGAAGAGAAAUUGAGAAUGCCAUGAGAGUUUCUCAACAGUUGACCUCCACAAGAAGUAGUUGAAAAAUAAGCUAAGGCAGCAUCAGCUUUUGUGCGUCCGCCCACAUGCCAAUAAGCAAAGCCUGCAUCAGCUUCCUACGUACGCCCACAAGCCAACAAAUUAUCAAAAUCAAUGAUACAUCAAGCUACAAAAUUCAAGUAACACACAGUAAUUUCU